AUUACUAGAGGCAACAAUAAUAAUCAAAAGGUGAACAUGAUAAGCAAUUUAGUCAAUUUAAUUAUUAUUUCCUAAACUUAUUACACAGUAAAAAACGUUAAUCCAACCGUUAAUUUUUUAAUCCAACCAUUGGAUUAUUUUACAAAAAUGUUGGGUAAUUUUUAGUAAUAACCCGGCUGUUGGGUUAAAUACGGUUCCCGCUCUGACUGUUCAAAUUUCAAAUUUUAACGGUCCAGUGACAGUCAACAGGAAGAAGCUGCUGUAGCCUGAUUAUGAAAGGCGCUCUGUGUGGUGAUGAUGUCUGCCUCACCUGUGAACAGGUGGAAUCCGCACCGGACCGGAGUGACGACAGCUCAGAUCCGGACUGAAGCUCCAGCAGAUCAUCAAUCCACAGCUCAUCAUUAGCAGACGAGCACACCGAGACUCUUUCAUGUCAGAGCUCUAGAUCUCAAACUUCACACAGACCGCUUUACAUCAUCAUCAUCAUCAUCAGGGUCUCUGAGGAUGGCAAUGAGUCGCGCGUCCGGCUGCACCGCCUGAAUGAAGUCCUGGACGAGUGACGGAGGCUCCGCCUCUCUGCUGAUGUCAUGGAGGAACACUCGAGCACACGGAUCACCUGACCUCAUGUGGAAAUUAAAAUAAACACACAGAUCUGAGAACGUACCAGUGAUGAUGCUGCUGCUGAUGGAGGAGUUUCCCAGAAGUCUGUGCUGUAUCCGC
Molecule: long non-coding RNA, 720 nt
Organism: Megalobrama amblycephala (Wuchang bream)
Lineage: Eukaryota; Metazoa; Chordata; Actinopteri; Cypriniformes; Xenocyprididae
Exons: 4
Source: RefSeq, a predicted model, not a curated record